This is a long non-coding RNA of Ictalurus furcatus (blue catfish), 649 nucleotides long. RefSeq lists it as uncharacterized. NCBI's taxonomy places the organism in Eukaryota, Metazoa, Chordata, Actinopteri, Siluriformes, Ictaluridae. The transcript is spliced from 3 exons. The record is from RefSeq and is a predicted model, not a curated record.
CUUGCCUCACCGCCUACACCCCGCCCUCAACCGAACCUAUGACGUCACUGUCAUCUGAUUGGCUCAGACACCUGUUGUCAAGCAGGACACCGGGUUGUUGACUGGAGAAAGGAGCAGGCGCCAUUUUUAAAGAGCUACAUCCAGCACUUUUGCUGCUUUGAUUUGUUUAUCAUCGAGGGUGUGGCGGAUAGAAGGGCAAAGCGCUUGGCUGUUUUACACAACAGCCAAUAGAGUACGAGAUCCGCUGUACACACCCCCCUCUCUCCAAAAUCUGGGUCACGGGGAACCUGGAGCCUAUCCCAGGGAGCAUCGGGCACAAGGCGGGAUACACCCUGGACAGGGUGCCAAUCCAUUGCAGGGCACAAUCACAUACACAUUCACACACCCAUUCAUACACUAUGGACACUUUGGACACGCCAAUCAGCCUACCAUGCAUGUCUUUGGACUGGGGGAGGAAACCGGAGUACCCGGAGGAGACCCUCGCAGCAUGGGGAGAACAUGCAGACUCCGCACACACAGGGCCACUGUGGGAAUCGAACCCCCGACCCUGGAGGUAUGAGGUGAACGUGGCACAUUAUACUAUAUAACAUUAAUAUUCAUGUCCAAUAUUGAACCAGAGUUGGCUCUGCAUUAAAGAUGAGAAAGAAAU